Galeopterus variegatus (Sunda flying lemur) is the source of this 2053-nucleotide long non-coding RNA. RefSeq lists it as uncharacterized. The transcript has 4 exons. Lineage: Eukaryota; Metazoa; Chordata; Mammalia; Dermoptera; Cynocephalidae. The record is from RefSeq and is a predicted model, not a curated record.
UUUCAGUGCGACAGCCUCAGAGCUGAUGGAGAGACAGAGAGCAAGCAACUGGAUAAAUUCAUAGACGUGGAAUUCCUGGAUAAAAUGGUCACCAAUUAUUUCAGCAUCAUUUGUUGAGUAAUCCAACCUUCUUCCACUGGUUUGAAAUGGCAACAACUGUUCUCCCAUUAGAUAGGGUGUAGCUUUCCACAGGUCGGCCAUUUUCUCUCUGCUCAAGAUGGUUACAUUCUGCAAUAGUACUCCUACCUUCUUGCAGCUUCCGGUAACAUACUAAAGCAUCAUGUUAAUUCUCUUGCCUUUCAAGAAUCCUAGGCACACACAUUUUAGGGCAAUGAUUUUCAAACAGGAUUUUCUUCAUUUCAAAUAUUUAAAAAUGGUAUUUUUGUUACAUGCUUUUUACAAAUUAAAAUUGAGGAAACCAAAUAUCUAAAACCACUGUUCCAGAUGUGCUAUUCCUCUUGGACACCCUUGACAUCCCAAUUGUGUGUGUAAAAAAAACACUCCCAGGAUAUUAACAGAGACUUGCCUGGAAACAGACUUGUGCCCGCAAUGUACAAUCUCACCCACUAAUGCCCACGUUGGCCACAUGGUGCAAACAACAUAUUUGCCCCUACAGCCCACAGAUUUCCCACAGUGCACAGACUUGUCCUACGGCACACAGAUGCGCCCCAAGCCACACAGACAAGCACCACAGCAGAAAGACUUGCCGCAGAGCACAUGCACACUCCCUAUACCACUAGACUCUCUCAGAGGCACACGUUCUCCUCAACGCAGAGGCUCACCUGAGAAACAUUGACCCACGUCACAUAACAAAAGCUAACCCCCCGGCAAAGACUCUACCCAUGACCCACAGACAAUCUCAGCAUCACAGACUGUCCCCACAUCACACAGACCCUUCCCAGGGCACACAGAACAUACAGACUCACCUCAUAGAACACAGAUUCUCCAGAGAGCACACAUAUUUUCAAGGCCAAAAGACUCACCUCAUAGCACACAGAUUCUCCCCAAGAUGCACAGAUACUCCCCAUAGCACACAGAUUCUUCCCACAGUGCACAGAUUCUCCCCAUGACAAACAGACUCUUCCUAUGCCCCACUGACUAAACCUAUAGUUGAAACUCUCCCCAGGGCAUACAGACCCCUCUCACAUUCCAUUGACCCUCACAAGAGCAAACAGCUUUGCCCCACAACACACAGACUCUCACCACAGAACAAAGUCUCUACUCACAGCACACAGAUUCACCCUAGAGCAUGCAGACUCUCUCCACAAAUACUUACCCCACAGUGCUUUCUUUACCCUACAACAUCUGGACCUCCUCCCAAACACACAGUUAUCACACAACACACAUUGUGGUCCUAUAUUAUGAAAAUAUACCUCAAUUUCCUCAGAUAUACUCUGUGAUAAAUAGACAUACCUCACAAUGCACAACAUGACAUCACAUCAUGAAAAUUGGCUCUACAAUGGGCAGACUUGUUCCACUGCAGCACUUUCUCUAAAGUAUUCAGACCCGUCCCUUAGGGCACAGUCACAGAUGUGAUACACAAUACUCUUACUUAUCCCACAACAUAGAUGCAACCCACAAAAUACAAACACAUCUCACAGCACAAUACUCCACCCCCCAUAGUGCUCAGAAUUGUGUCACAACACACACUUGCCACACAGAUUUAUUUCACAAAAACCUCACUUCUUACAGUGGUUAUACAGUGCAAACACAUGCCCCAAAACACAUGAAACCAUCUGCUGUACCAACUUUCAGAUUUACUCCAAAGCACAGAGACUAUUUUCACUCCUCACACUGCUGCUUACAAAACAAGAUAUGCCCAACCAUGCACAGAACUCCACCAAAAUGCAGGUUCUUCCAUCAAUAUACAGACUUGCCUCAUGACUCACACAAACAUCACUGAACACCAAGACUCACCCUAAAUGCACAGACAAGCCCUUAAGGGCACAGUCUUACCCCAUAACAUACCCAAUCACACCCACAACAGUUAGACAUGCCUUAGGAUUCACAGGCAUGCCUGUAAGCACAUAGAUUCCUUCCACAAUGCACAGAA